ACCAUAAUGGGCUGCGAGACGCGAGUCUCUCUAAAAAAAGAUAAUCCUGAUUCCUAUUUGAUUUUUCGUCUUACACAAAAAAAUCAACACACAUCAGUCUCAGUAUAACAGAUUUUGCGAAUUAUCAGCGAGGAAGAUCAUCCACCUCUCACGCGUGAUUUGAGUUUCAUCAUCGUGUGUUUGUUUUGAUGGGAGGGAGAGACGAAGGAAAAUUGAAUUAAGUUUCCGUUUGCUUUGGCUUUGGUUGCUGACCAACCCAAAACCAAGAUUCGAACAUCAGUCCCAACGAUUGAGAAGCAGAAACCGUACCGUUCUAACUAUUUCGUCAUUCAGCAUACCUAGGUUUCAGAACACAUUGAAAUUUAGGAAUGGUACUGUCACCAUCAGAUUAUUGGGAAAAUCAUGGAACAUUGAGAACGCUCAAUGCCCCCUCAGUGGCCGGAGGCACACGUAAUAUCCAGCGAGAACUAUCAUCAUCUAGAGAGCAGCAACCAUUCGCAAAAUUUCAAAUGCGGUAGAUUUUUUUUCCUCAUUCGUAGUGAGAAUUGAACCCUCGACGAGACGCAUUUGAUGGAAUCAAAAGACACCACAACAGUCACCUCACAGUUAAAGCUAAACUGACUGCAGGAUUGAUGGUAGAAUAGGAGAGCUUCAUGAACUUACCUCUCUGCUACGAGGAUACAGAAACUGGGAUCGGAGCGUUGCCACCGAUGGGCCGGAUCGGUUGAUGACCAUUUUUUUUUCCUUUUUUGCACUUUUACUGAAUGGUUGUAACACAAAUCAGAAUCAGCUGCAAAACGAUUGAGGGAUUUUUUGACAGAAAAAUAAAAAUAUUCACACUCGGAUCUGGAGAAGCGAGAAUUAGUUACGCGAGGGACAUCUUUAAGUGAAGACAAAUCGCCGAGUUCCAUGCUUUCUUUGGCCCAAAACUUCCAUGAGCGAGAGCUUUUUAUUCCUGACUAAAUAAUUAGACUAAGAAAAUUAAAAAAAAAUCAUUUCUGGAAUCCAGCAUUGGAAAAACAAUGGUUUCGUGGUACUAAGGAAAACUUAAAAUUAGUUAAUAAACGUAAGCUCCAAUAAAAAUCCAAAGUGUCGCUAUUGGAAUAAAUUUGAACUUGGGUAUCUUUAAUAAAUUGCAAUGGACUUUUCAUAAGAUCGAUCUGUACAUAUAAACAUAGUU
This is a long non-coding RNA of Uranotaenia lowii, 1180 nucleotides long. RefSeq lists it as uncharacterized. Lineage: Eukaryota; Metazoa; Arthropoda; Insecta; Diptera; Culicidae. The transcript is spliced from 3 exons. The record is from RefSeq and is a predicted model, not a curated record.